RNAcentral lists this ribosomal RNA (480 nucleotides) under Vibrio chagasii. RNAcentral's name for it is "bacterial SSU rRNA". It matches the Rfam family "Bacterial small subunit ribosomal RNA", at positions 291 to 763 of the family's 1533-position model. Lineage: Bacteria; Pseudomonadati; Pseudomonadota; Gammaproteobacteria; Vibrionales; Vibrionaceae. The record is from RNAcentral.
UCUGAGAGGAUGAUCAGCCACACUGGAACUGAGACACGGUCCAGACUCCUACGGGAGGCAGCAGUGGGGAAUAUUGCACAAUGGGCGAAAGCCUGAUGCAGCCAUGCCGCGUGUAUGAAGAAGGCCUUCGGGUUGUAAAGUACUUUCAGUUGUGAGGAAGGGGGUGUCGUUAAUAGCGGCAUCUCUUGACGUUAGCAACAGAAGAAGCACCGGCUAACUCCGUGCCAGCAGCCGCGGUAAUACGGAGGGUGCGAGCGUUAAUCGGAAUUACUGGGCGUAAAGCGCAUGCAGGUGGUUCAUUAAGUCAGAUGUGAAAGCCCGGGGCUCAACCUCGGAACUGCAUUUGAAACUGGUGAACUACAGUACUGUAGAGGGGGGUAGAAUUUCAGGUGUAGCGGUGAAAUGCGUACAGAUCUGAAGGAAUACCAGUGGCGAAGGCGGCCCCCUGGACAGAUACUGACACUUUGAUGCGAAAGCGUG